GCACCCGUAGCUCAAUUGGAUAGAGUAUCUGACUACGGAUCAGACGGUUAGAGGUUCGACUCCUCUCGGGUGCACCA
Molecule: transfer RNA, 77 nt
Filed under: Chlorobium chlorochromatii CaD3
Lineage: Bacteria; Pseudomonadati; Chlorobiota; Chlorobiia; Chlorobiales; Chlorobiaceae
Description: tRNA-Arg (ACG) (tRNA-Arg-ACG-1-1)
Rfam family: tRNA
About the family: Transfer RNA (tRNA) molecules are approximately 80 nucleotides in length. Their secondary structure includes four short double-helical elements and three loops (D, anti-codon, and T loops).
Source: RNAcentral